GACGAACGCUGGCGGCGUGCUUAACACAUGCAAGUCGAACGGAAAGGCCCUGCUUUUGUGGGGUGCUCGAGUGGCGAACGGGUGAGUAACACGUGAGUAACCUGCCCUUGACUUUGGGAUAACUUCAGGAAACUGGGGCUGAUACCGGAUAGGAGCUCCUGCUGCAUGGUGGGGGUUGGAAAGUUUCGGCGGUUGGGGAUGGACUCGCGGCUUAUCAGCUUGUUGGUGGGGUAGUGGCUUACCAAGGCCUUGACGGGUAGCCGGCCUGAGAGGGUGACCGGCCACAUUGGGACUGAGAUACGGCCCAGACUCCUACGGGAGGCAGCAGUGGGGAAUAUUGCACAAUGGGCGGAAGCCUGAUGCAGCAACGCCGCGUGCGGGAUGACGGCCUUCGGGUUGUAAACCGCUUUCGCCUGUGACGAAGCGUGAGUGACGGUAAUGGGUAAAGAAGCACCGGCUAACUACGUG
This 468-nucleotide ribosomal RNA is filed under the name uncultured bacterium. Its description in RNAcentral is "partial 16S ribosomal RNA". It matches the Rfam family "Bacterial small subunit ribosomal RNA", at positions 28 to 507 of the family's 1533-position model. The record is from RNAcentral.